This 514-nucleotide ribosomal RNA is filed under the name uncultured bacterium. RNAcentral's name for it is "bacterial SSU rRNA". It matches the Rfam family "Bacterial small subunit ribosomal RNA", at positions 8 to 518 of the family's 1533-position model. The record is from RNAcentral.
AGGGUUCGAUUCUGGCUCAGGAUGAACGCUAGCUACAGGCUUAACACAUGCAAGUCGAGGGGUAGCAGGGUAGCAAUACCGCUGACGACCGGCGCACGGGUGAGUAACACGUAUCCAACCUUCCCAUAACUCAGGGAUAGCCUUUCGAAAGAAAGAUUAAUACCUGAUAGUACUUUUUCAAGGCAUCUUAGAAAAAGUUAAAGAUUUAUUGGUUAUGGAUGGGAUGCGUUCCAUUAGAUAGUUGGUGAGGUAACGGCUCACCAAGUCUUCGAUGGAUAGGGGUUCUGAGAGGAAGGUCCCCCACAUUGGUACUGAGACACGGACCAAACUCCUACGGGAGGCAGCAGUGAGGAAUAUUGGUCAAUGGGCGAGAGCCUGAACCAGCCAAGUAGCGUGAAGGAAUGAAGGUCCUAUGGAUUGUAAACUUCUUUUAUAGUAGAAUAAAGUGAGCCACGUGUGGUUUUUUGUAUGUAUACUAUGAAUAAGGAUCGGCUAACUCCGUGCCAGCCGCAGC